UACGUAGGAGGCAAGCGUUGUCCGGAAUACUGGGCGUAAAGCGUGCGCAGGCGGUUAUGUAAGACAGUUGUGAAAGUCCCCGGGCUCAACCCGUGGGAACUGGCAUCUGUGACUGCAUAGCUAGAGUACGGUAGAGGGGGAUGGAAUUCCGCGUGUAGCAGUGAAAUGCGUAGAUAUGCGGAGGAACACCGAUGGCGAAGGCAAUCCCCUGGACCUGUACUGACGCUCAUGCACGAAAGCGUGGGGAGCAAACAGG
Molecule: ribosomal RNA, 256 nt
Filed under: uncultured bacterium
Lineage: Bacteria
Description: partial 16S ribosomal RNA
Rfam family: Bacterial small subunit ribosomal RNA
Source: RNAcentral